CCUACGGGUGGCAGCAGUGGGGAAUAUUGGACAAUGGGGUGAACCCUGAUCCAGCCAUGCCGCGUGUGUGAAGAAGGCCCUCGGGUUGUAAAGCACUUUCAGUGAGGAAGAACGCCUGGUGGUUAAUACCCAUCAGGAAAGACAUCACUCACAGAAGAAGCACCGGCUAACUCCGUGCCAGCAGCCGCGGUAAUACGGAGGGUGCGAGCGUUAAUCGGAAUUACUGGGCGUAAAGCGCGCGUAGGUGGCUUGAUAAGCCGGUUGUGAAAGCCCCGGGCUCAACCUGGGAACGGCAUCCGGAACUGUCAGGCUAGAGUGCAGGAGAGGAAGGUAGAAUUCCCGGUGUAGCGGUGAAAUGCGUAGAGAUCGGGAGGAAUACCAGUGGCGAAGGCGGCCUUCUGGACUGACACUGACACUGAGGUGCGAAAGCGUGGGUAGCAAACAGGAUUAGAUACCCUGGUAGUC
RNAcentral lists this ribosomal RNA (465 nucleotides) under Vreelandella stevensii. RNAcentral describes it as "partial 16S ribosomal RNA". It matches the Rfam family "Bacterial small subunit ribosomal RNA", at positions 338 to 795 of the family's 1533-position model. The record is from RNAcentral. Lineage: Bacteria; Pseudomonadati; Pseudomonadota; Gammaproteobacteria; Oceanospirillales; Halomonadaceae.